GAUGAAGAACGCAGCGAAAUGCGAUACUUGGUGUGAAUUGCAGAAUCCCGUGAACCAUCGAGUCUUUGAACGCAAGUUGCGCCCGAAGCCACUAGGCCGAGGGCACGCCUGCCUGGGCGUCACACGCCGUUGCCCCCCCAUCUACUCCUUCGGGAUUGCGGGGGGGCGGAUGAUUGCCUCCCGUGCGCCUAGCCGCGCGGUUGGCAUAAAUACCAAGUCCUCGGCGACGCACGCCACGACAAUCGGUGGUUGCGAAACCUCGGUUGCCCGUCGUGUGCGUUCGUCGCGCAUCGAGGGCUCGAAAAAAUGCUCGGCUCCGGCUGGGCUUUCAACGCGACCCCAGGUCAGGCGGGGUUACCCGCUGAAUUUAAGCAUAUCAAUAAGCGGAGGA
This 391-nucleotide unclassified non-coding RNA is filed under the name soil metagenome. RNAcentral's name for it is "partial contains 5.8S ribosomal RNA, internal transcribed spacer 2, and large subunit ribosomal RNA". The stretch from base 1 to 122 matches the Rfam family "5.8S ribosomal RNA", at positions 35 to 154 of the family's 154-position model. The record is from RNAcentral.